Long non-coding RNA from Silurus meridionalis, 544 nucleotides. RefSeq lists it as uncharacterized. The record is from RefSeq and is a predicted model, not a curated record. Lineage: Eukaryota; Metazoa; Chordata; Actinopteri; Siluriformes; Siluridae. The transcript is spliced from 2 exons.
ACAAGGUUAUGGUCCAACAGGACCCUAACACUAUAUCUUAGUGUGCAAAUGGGGCUUGAGUAAGGGGCCGCGCCAGAUGGAAAUGAGUGGUAAUAAACACCUGCAGCUGAUAAGACUAAUCAGUGUGCUCCGUUUCAGUCCGUCGAUGCCAAUAAAGGGAGAAAGCCAUGUUUUAGAUGGAAAAUCAGGCGGGAGCUAAAAGAGAAAGCGUGCCAAUCCCUGAGUAAGACGGGCGGAUCCCGAACUGCGAGUGUUAGCCCCAGCCGAGUUUGCUAUAGUAGAGCUGAAACCCUGUGCUGGAAGGGGGGUAUUACAAGCUACAAGCUGGAAAGGCUUUCCUAACAGCGAGGCCAUGAGUGAGCCCUGGCGUGAGUACUGGAAAGGAAAGCACUGUGGUAAAAAUUUAAGUAAAUAAAGAAAUCUCUGCUUGCCUGUCUCUCUUUCUUUCAGCACGGAACCAGUGAUUUUGCUACACUUAGCAACACCUCAAGAAUGACAUGUUGAAAGACACUAAUGAUGUUUUAUUAAACUCUUCUUUCACUGA